GGGGAGCGUUCUGUAAGCCUGUGAAGGUGUGUCGUGAGGCAUGCUGGAGGUAUCAGAAGUGCGAAUGCUGACAUAAGUAACGAUAAAGCGGGUGAAAAGCCCGCUCGCCGGAAGACCAAGGGUUCCUGUCCAACGUUAAUCGGGGCAGGGUGAGUCGACCCCUAAGGCGAGGCCGAAAGGCGUAGUCGAUGGGAAACGGGUUAAUAUUCCCGUACUUGGUGUUACUGCGAAGGGGGGACGGAGAAGGCUAUGUUGGCCGGGCGACGGUUGUCCCGGUUUAAGCGUGUAGGUGUGUGUUCCAGGUAAAUCCGGUUCACUUUAACACUGAGGCGUGACGACGAGGCACUACGGUGCUGAAGCAACAAAUGCCCUGCUUCCAGGAAAAGCCUCUAAGCAUCAGGUAACACGAAAUCGUACCCCAAACCGACACAGGUGGUCAGGUAGAGAAUACCAAGGCGCUUGAGAGAACUCGGGUGAAGGAACUAGGCAAAAUGGUGCCGUAACUUCGGGAGAAGGCACGCUGACACGUAGGUGAAGUGAUUUACUCAUGGAGCUGAAGUCAGUCGAAGAUACCAGCUGGCUGCAACUGUUUAUUAAAAACACAGCACUGUGCAAACACGAAAGUGGACGUAUACGGUGUGACGCCUGCCCGGUGCCGGAAGGUUAAUUGAUGGGGUCAGCGUAAGCGAAGCUCCUGAUCGAAG
This 704-nucleotide ribosomal RNA is filed under the name Salmonella enterica subsp. enterica serovar 4,12:i:-. RNAcentral's name for it is "bacterial LSU rRNA". It matches the Rfam family "Bacterial large subunit ribosomal RNA", at positions 1231 to 1917 of the family's 2925-position model. The record is from RNAcentral. Lineage: Bacteria; Pseudomonadati; Pseudomonadota; Gammaproteobacteria; Enterobacterales; Enterobacteriaceae.